This is a non-coding RNA of Biomphalaria pfeifferi, 433 nucleotides long. NCBI's taxonomy places the organism in Eukaryota, Metazoa, Mollusca, Gastropoda, Planorbidae. The record is from the annotation of a GenBank genome assembly.
AUUUAUUCUUUCAAAGUUAUUUAUUGACUGAUAAACAUGAGCUUUAGAACAUCAAGCCAGUUCAAUGGACACAAUGCAGUGAGGUAUGAAAAGGAAUUGGAUUACAUUUUGCAGAAUAAACUAUUCAAGUUAAAUCUCUACUAUGAAAAUCAGGGCCAGAUUUAAGAGUGUGGAGACCCCAAAAAUUUUUUUUAAAGCUUUAAUAAAAAUCCACUUUUUAACACUUAUCAAUAAACAUAUUGAUAGCUAAUAGCAAGCCAUAUUCUAGAAGAAAGAAAUUGAAUACUUGUUAAUUUUAUCUAAUUUUACUACUUAAAAAAAAGUUACAAUUUUUUAUUAUGCAAUUUUUGUAAAAAAAAAUAAUUAUAUUUUACAUGUUUUUGAGUUUGUGGAGAGUAAGACAUUUUAAAAUCUGUUUUGUGGGGGCCCCGGG